RNAcentral lists this ribosomal RNA (191 nucleotides) under Calonectria kyotensis. RNAcentral describes it as "partial 18S ribosomal RNA". It matches the Rfam family "Eukaryotic small subunit ribosomal RNA", at positions 1643 to 1831 of the family's 1831-position model. Lineage: Eukaryota; Fungi; Ascomycota; Sordariomycetes; Hypocreales; Nectriaceae. The record is from RNAcentral.
GUUUACGUCCCCCUGCCUUUGUACACACCGCCCGUCGCUACUACCGAUUGAUGGCUCAGUGAGGCGUCCGGACUGGCCCAGAGAGGCGGGCAACUGCCACUCAGGGCCGGAAAGCUCUCCAAACUCGGUCAUUUAGAGGAAGUAAAAGUCGUAACAAGGUCUCCGUUGGUGAACCAGCGGAGGGAUCAUUA